RNAcentral lists this transfer RNA (72 nucleotides) under Camelus bactrianus (Bactrian camel). It matches the Rfam family "tRNA". Rfam says of the family: Transfer RNA (tRNA) molecules are approximately 80 nucleotides in length. Their secondary structure includes four short double-helical elements and three loops (D, anti-codon, and T loops). Further hydrogen bonds mediate the characteristic L-shaped molecular structure. tRNAs have two regions of fundamental functional importance: the anti-codon, which is responsible for specific mRNA codon recognition, and the 3' end, to which the tRNAs corresponding amino acid is attached (by aminoacyl-tRNA synthetases). tRNAs cope with the degeneracy of the genetic code in two manners: having more than one tRNA (with a specific anti-codon) for a particular amino acid; and 'wobble' base-pairing, i.e. permitting non-standard base-pairing at the 3rd anti-codon position. Lineage: Eukaryota; Metazoa; Chordata; Mammalia; Artiodactyla; Camelidae. The record is from Rfam by way of RNAcentral. RNAcentral also lists the same sequence under 2 other names.
GAGGGUAGAGCUCAGUGGUAGAGCACAUGCUUAGCAUGCAUGAGGUCCUGGGUUCAAUCCUCAGUACCUCCA